AGUCUCAUUUUUUUCCUAUAUCCACAAAAAGAGAAAAAAUCUAUAUAAAUUUGCAAGUCUUGCAUCAAAUGACCGGCCGAAUAGCCGCUUGUGGGUACGUUUCUUGUACACAGUAGUGAAUUGUACGUACAAGUGCUUGCUGCUAUAAAAUUCCAUAUCAAAACAAAAUGGGUGUAAUAGAAAAUGAUUUUGAUAGCACAUCAUCGACCUGUUUCUAUUUAUUGUUUUGCUAUUAUAGACAUUACUUAAAAAAAGACAUAACUGUUCCUUAUUGGAACACAUUUUUUCUAAAGAAUUUAUAAUAAAAAAGAAUUUGAAUUAUAAAGAAAAAAAAUUUUGAAAUUCGAAAUGACGUUCAUAAAAAAUUCCAAAUUGAAGAAGAAUUGAGAAGAAGCUGACCGGGAGCCGUGGACAAAAAAAUCAAAAAAGGGUAUUUUGUAUACAAAUGUCGUGGCAUAAUAAUAAUUUAAUGGGUAUAUGCUAAUGCAUAUAAAAAAUUAAAUGAUGUUAAAACCAAACCUAUUGUGAACAUGGUGAGUUAUCGCAAAAAAAUUCAUAAAGACUGGCCAAAUUUCGUCCUCCAUGGACAAAAUUCACAAGGGCCUUCAGCUGAUGACUUCAAAUGGGCAAAUAUCCUACAAAUCGUCGGAUUUGAACUAGGGACUGUAGCAUCUGCUUGUGCGGAAGACCGUGGCGGUGAAUUUUCAACCGGCAUUUUCAGUAUAUAAAUGGAAAACGAAUUAAAAAAAAAAGUAAUUUAACUAACCCAAGCAAAAAAUCGAAAACUAAUCAAUGUAUACCAUGGGC
Long non-coding RNA from Stomoxys calcitrans (stable fly), 807 nucleotides. RefSeq lists it as uncharacterized. The transcript has 3 exons. NCBI's taxonomy places the organism in Eukaryota, Metazoa, Arthropoda, Insecta, Diptera, Muscidae. The record is from RefSeq and is a predicted model, not a curated record.